Paramuricea clavata is the source of this 224-nucleotide non-coding RNA. NCBI's taxonomy places the organism in Eukaryota, Metazoa, Cnidaria, Anthozoa, Malacalcyonacea, Plexauridae. The record is from the annotation of a GenBank genome assembly.
GCAGCGUGUGAUCAAUAUUUUCUCCCAAAUCGUAUCUACACCAGCAAACCUCGUUUAUGUCCGAUGACGACUAAAACACGAUUAUACGUAUAGUAUAGGUUUUAGAUCACGAAUAUCACACCAUUAUUCAACCUCGUUACCAUUAUUUGGUGUGACAUUCUGACAAAUUAUAAACCACAUGGCUGACUGAGGACCAGUGUAAGUAUAAGUUAUUUAAGGCCGUU